AAGUCGAACGAGACCUUCGGGUCUAGUGGCGCACGGGUGCGUAACGCGUGGGAAUCUGCCCUUUGCUACGGAAUAACUCAGAGAAAUUUGUGCUAAUACCGUAUAAUGUCGAAAGACCAAAGAUUUAUCGGCAAAGGAUGAGCCCGCGUAGGAUUAGCUAGUUGGUGAGGUAAAGGCUCACCAAGGCGACGAUCCUUAGCUGGUCUGAGAGGAUGAUCAGCCACACUGGGACUGAGACACGGCCCAGACUCCUACGGGAGGCAGCAGUGGGGAAUAUUGGACAAUGGGCGAAAGCCUGAUCCAGCAAUGCCGCGUGAGUGAUGAAGGCCUUAGGGUUGUAAAGCUCUUUUACCAGGGAUGAUAAUGACAGUACCUGGAGAAUAAGCUCCGGCUAACUCCGUGCCAGCAGCCGCGGUAAUACGGAGGGAGCUAGCGUUGUUCGGAAUUACUGGGCGUAAAGCGCACGUAGGCGGCGACUCAAGUCAGAGGUGAAAGCCUGGAGCUCAACUCCAGAACUGCCUUUGAAACUAGGUCGCUAGAAUCUUGGAGAGGCGAGUGGAAUUCCGAGUGUAGAGGUGAAAUUCGUAGAUAUUCGGAAGACACCAGUGGCG
Molecule: ribosomal RNA, 611 nt
Filed under: uncultured Alphaproteobacteria bacterium
Lineage: Bacteria; Pseudomonadati; Pseudomonadota; Alphaproteobacteria
Description: bacterial SSU rRNA
Rfam family: Bacterial small subunit ribosomal RNA
Source: RNAcentral